RNAcentral lists this long non-coding RNA (7836 nucleotides) under Capsicum annuum. Its description in RNAcentral is "long non-coding RNA (CANN_LNC007684)". Lineage: Eukaryota; Viridiplantae; Streptophyta; Magnoliopsida; Solanales; Solanaceae. The record is from RNAcentral.
UCAGUUUUGGGGGUUUUCUCGAGUUGGCAGAUUCGAGUUGAGUUUAUCGGAUCGAGUCGUGAAUUUGGUUCCAGUUCGUUGGCAACAUCAACAAUUUGGCUUUGAAAUAAACUUGAGGUCUAUUUUUCAUCUCUUUCUUCAUAAUUUCGUAAUCUUUAAGUGAAUGAUUGAGUGAAUUGUUGUUUGUUUUGAUCCGGUGUUUGAUUUUCGUAAUUAUGGAUUGUAUGAUGAAAUGGUAUCUUGUUUGAAAAUUAAAGUUAAUUGUUUGGGGGGUGGAAUUGAAAUUGAUAAAAAGCAAACGUUAAUUUAUUUUGAUUCAAUGAUAUCGUUGAUGUGAUAAUGCUAUGAUAGAUUGAGCUCGGGUAGGCAAAUACAAAGUUUGGGUAGGAAAAUUGUAAAAAAUAGAAGAGGGUGAUUUGUUGAAUGUGUGAAUAUUUUUUGAAUGGUAUUAUUUACCGCAUUUGAAUCAAUUAUAUUCAUGUAAUCGGGGAAUGCCCCGAAGCCAUUUGUAUUUAUUCAUCGGGGAAUGCCCCGAGGUAUAUUGUACCCGGAGGAUGUUAGUGAUGAAGGACCAAGGCAUCGGGUAAAGUAUUGGAGCACAGUUUUGGAUUUGUGUAGGUUUAAUUUUAGUACCCUUUUUAUUUUGGGUUAUAAUAAUUGGACUGGAUAUUAUAUUUUUUGAUUUGUUUUGUUUCGUGUGUUUGAUUGAUUGUUUUAUGUGUUUUGUAUGGUUUAUACAUUUGUAAUCUCAAAUUAGCCGAUAUGCACCACCAAGCGACCGUGGUCAAAUCACGGGAUCGAGGGGUGCCUAACACCUUCCCCUCAAUCAACAGAAGUCCUUAGCCAGAAUCUCUGUUUGUGGAUCAGCUUUAAAGAGAAAUAAUUUUAAAAAAGAAUAUCCAAGGGUGACUUGGCUCACUCGAUUUAUGCCAAGCGGAGACUCUGAGUUUUAAAUAUAAAAGGUCCUUUUCGAAAUAAAUUUUUAAACUUUUGUCACUUUAAUAAUAAAAACCCUUUCAAACUUUAAAAGUAAUCUUUUUGGUCAAAAAUGGGUGUGAUAGCUCUAGCGACUCUGCUGGGGAAUGUUUUCAGAAUUCGAGCUUAUUUUGGAGUUGUAUUGGCUUAGUUUGGCAAUAUAGGUGUAUAGACAUUUUGUUUGAUUGUUUUGUAUUAUUUUUUAUCAUUGUUGAGUGCCUACGUGCUCUUUUUUUUUACAGUUUUUACUUUUUGUUACCGCUUUAUAUCUGACAUCAUAUGCAUCAUAACCCAAGUCAUUCUUUCUGCAACAAGUCCAUAGUACACGUGUGUACACGACCUAUAGUUGAGUCAUCUUUAUUAUAGGAGGGGGAGCCGUUGGGUUGUACGGAGUAGGUGGAAAGCUAUCCCAGCCACUAUCGACCAUACGCUCCCCCGAACAGCCUUGUUAGUAAACCCCAACAUAGGUCAGGCUUUAGGUCAUGCUUAUGUGCAUCAUAUUGAGACCUAGCGGGACCCACUUGGUCCUUUAUAGGAGACUCACCUCUAAAGCAUCCGUACAUGCUAAAUGUUGCAUCUUUGAGGGUAACAGUAUCAUUUGAUAGACUGUUUUAGACAAAAGCAUGUUCUAGAAUUAAAGGAAGUGUGUAGACAAGGAAAAGUUUUUAAAAAAGGAGAAAAUGAGAAAAGGUGAAUUGAAAAAAGAGUUUCGUAGUCUUUUUAGAGUUUAUAUGACUUUUGUUCUCCACAAUCUCAAAAUUCAAAAUGAUUUUUACCUUUUGUACUCAUAUCUAAAAAAAAACAUCAAAAAGAUUUUUCCUUUGUCUCAUUUAGCAUGGAUUCACAAUUCGAAAACUUCAAAAAGAUUUUUCAUUCAUAGAAAUUUUUAUAAAAGAAAAAUGCAAAAAAAAAUUGUAGGAGUUUUGUAUAUUUCAUGAAAAUACCGAAAAGAUUUUCUUUCAUAGUUGUUGGUGUCAUUUUUAUGUGAAGUGUCAAAUUAAAAAUUCAAAAAGAUUUUAUUAAAAUUUUGCAUCUUCUGUUUGUGCUCAUAUCUCUCAAGUCAGGGUGUUGGUUAUUUAAUCCUUAAUUGUCCAUUCUGGACGAACUACGCACCCCUGAUUCUCCUCUCUCGGGAGUGAGAUACGUAGGCAGCCUAUUGUGGGUUCGGAGAUCUUAUUUCAAAAAAUUCAAAUUUUUUUUUUCACUCUUCACUUAGAGUAGGUGUUUCAUAUACAUCUUUAAAAGAAAACUACAAAAUUUUUUUCGUUUAAUAGGUUCAAGUUUCAUUUUCAUAUGAAAUUCAGAAUCGAAAAUACAAAAAAAAAAUUCUUUGGUAAUUAUGGUUUCAUUUUGUAUAGAAAUCUGAAAAAAUUCAAAAAAAAUUUUCUUCACUCUUCACUUAGAGUAGGUGUUUAUAUAGUUUCAAGUUUAUUUUAAUAUUAAAUUCAAAAUUGAAAACCCCAAAAGAUUUUUAUUUGGUAAUCAUAAGUUUCGUUUUGUAUGAGUAUUUAAAUUUGCAAAAAGAUUUUCGUUAAUUAUUUUGACAAUUUAUUAUUUCCUUUUCUUUUUAAAGUUUCAAAAAAAGAAAAAAAAAGGAAAAAGAGUUUAGUUGGCCAUUUUGGCAAGACUUCACGACUACGCACAACCGAUUCUCUUCUUUUGAGAGUGAGAUACGUAGGUGCCCUUCUUGGGUUCGGUGAUCUUUUCAAAAAAGGGAAAAAGAGUUUUGAAAAGUGUUGAACUCUAACACAUUUAUUGUUUUUUUUGUUGAGUCAGUUUAAGGUGAUUGGUUUGUGGCAUUCUGGCUGGUCCUCCACAUCACACCAAAUCCAAAGGGUUAGGUGUGUCCAACAAAGAUUUAGAGAGUGACAUCAUGAAUCAAACAAAUAGUCAAGAAAUUGAGAGUUUAAAUAAAGAGAAUUUGAGAAUAAGGCAACAAAUGAUGGAAAUGUAUCGUGCUAGGGUCAGUGAGGUGCCUCCUCCUCCAUUCCUUACUAUUGACCCCAUAAAUACCCUGAGUUUUUUUUUAUCACAAUUGGAAGCUCUAAGUUCUAAUGCUGUUGAUGCACUGCAACAUGCCUCAGAAUUCAUUCUAAUCCAAAAGAAUCUCAAUACUUCUGUCACUCUUCCUCUAGCUUCUCAAUAUAAGCUUGCUAUAUUAACAAGACCACAUACUACCUGUGCUUUUGUUGCUCAACCUUCUGUUGAGGCUUCCACUUUGGAUAUCAAUCCAAUGAUUGUGCUGACCCAAUCUAUUAGUGGACCCAUGUUCAAUACUCUUAAUGAUAGUUGCUAUACUCCCGAGACCAUAUCAAUGUUAAUUGGACCACCAAAAUUUCUUAACAAGAAGUCUAGCUUGUCAGAAGAGCCAGAGAUAAUGGUUGGAAAAAUAAAGAGUACAAAAAAUGCUAGGAAAAGUUUCCUAGGACCUGGGGGUAAAGAAGAUGUUUCAUAUAAAGAAUUAGGCAGGUUUUCAAGUGUUAACCUUCCUCCAAUCCUUGAGAUGUUGAAACUUGAGAAGCAAGAUGAACAUGAGGAAUUCGUGAAGCAUUUAGGAAAAUAUUGCAAUCAAGUAAGGGAAACUGGAGGGAAGAAGAAUGAGAAAGAUGCAGCUUCUAUAGUAGUUAGAGAACGGGCAUAUCCAAGAACGAUGUCGUUGUCACCGUCAGUCUCAAACCCAAGUUCAUACCUAAGCUCUCAGUAAUCCCUCCCAAAGUUCAUUAUACUCCAUUUACCCACCUCUAUAUCUAGUAUAUUACGCACCACCAUAUUUUCAACUCCCUUCUUACUCAUAAUGGUGUGCACCAACUCUUCAGAGUUACCUUCCUACUCCACAAACCUACCAAAGCCCUUCUAGGACCGAUUUUGGAUCCAAGCUAAACAAUGAAACGAGGUAUAAAUAGAGGGAUAGAUUCACACUAAUUGGAGAAUCGUAUGCCAGCUUAUUUUAGAGAUUGGUACAAUGGGGCAUGAUCACUUCUCUCCUUAGGGACACUCUUAAUCCCUGUUAAAGAAAUUUUGAUCCUAAUGCACGAUGUGCAUAUAAUUCCAAUGCUCGAGGUCAUAGUAUUAAAGUUUGCCGAGAUUUGAAAAGAGAAAUUGAAAAGAUAAUUCAGGAUGGAUCAAUUAUGGAGCAGAACAUUGACAGUGACGGAAGCUCUAGUUAUGCUGAUAUGCAAAUUAGUGGCUAAGUUGUCAGGUUGAGCAAUUGAGAAGUCACCUCUCUCCCUACUAGGAAGAGGUUUGGUAGUUUGUUUUGUUUUCUUUUCUAUUUUCUGAAUCAUUUCAGGGUUGUAGUUCGGGAUCCAUCUUGUUUUGUCCCUUUGUCGUUUAUGUUCAAACCCUUUUCUCUUUUAUUUUUACUAAAUAAAGUGUCCCUUUUUCUUUGUGUUUUAAAUAUAUGUUGUUUGUUUGUUUUCUUUACACAGUACAUUUUAUGUUGAUUCUAGUGAUAUGACAUGCUAGUGAAAUUUUCAGCUUGAUCUUAAAAUCCAAUUUAAGCAUGAACUUUGAAUUAGAUGGCUAAAGUUAGAAAAAGCAUCUGAGAAAAUUGAUAGAGUGUUGACACAUUUGGUGACCAUGUUAAAGCCCUUUUUUCAAAAUUAAGAAAAUUAUUUUGAGAAUCACAAGAAUAACUUGGUCAUCAAUUGAAAAACAUAGCUCAAUUAGGUCAAAUAGCGGAUGUGUGAUCCCGAGGAACAGAAAAAUCAACUCUACAAAGUCAUGAGUCCUUCAGCAUGAGGAAGCUACAACAAAGUGGAGUUGUAUGCUGGAUAUGCACAGAAGUAGUGAUGCACACGCUCAGUUAAGUUAGUUCUAUAAAAAUGUCAUACAUGAUCUUCAUCUCCCAUUUUCAUAUUGCAUGUUAUGUACUUGCAUUUUUAAGGAUUGAUAUGAUGAAGGCAUUUUAUUCUUCUAUCCAAAAAGUGUGUCAUCCUUUGUUUAUCCCAUUUGAGCCUUAGUUAUAUUUUGUUUCGUACCCCUCUUUUGGAAUUAGGAUAGAGUCUGCAACGUCUAAGAAAAAGUAUUGAAAAAAAAAGAGAUCAGAAAAGUUUCAAAAAAGAGACAAAAUAUGUCCAAAAAGAAAGAAAAGAAGAGUGUUAAGAAAAUGGAGUCAGAAAAACAAUCCCAAAGAGAAAAGAUCCAAUAAAAUAAAAAAGAAAGAAAAAUCAGAUCAAAAGAAAGAACAAGUUGCCGAAACUACGUGUGACCUGAUUCUCCUCUUUUGAGGUAAGACACGUAGGCUACCCUACUCAGGGCUUGGUCCAACUAAAUAAACAAUUUAGAAUUUCCCAGUCAAAACAAACUGGGGCAUGAGUUAAUCCUUAUUGUUUGAGUCGAUUCCAAAAGUUGUAAGUCCUACCCCACUUAAAGUAUCGUUUGGGCCCUAUGCCAUCAUUUCUUUCUAACCCUAUCCAAAAGCCAAGUUACAACCAAAGAAAGACCUUCAGAUCAAUCUUUGAGAAUGUUGAGGCUAAGCAUGCAAUGAAUGUGAUGAAACAUUUUGGGAACUAGUUGUCUUCCUCAACAUAAGAAAUUAGGAGAUAAAUAAAAAUGAGAGAGUCUUAUCGGUGAAAACCCUUACGGGUAUCGUAAGACGAUGGUAAGCUGAGAAAGAUAAAAAUGAGAGUCUUAUUGGUGAAAACCCUCACGGGCACUAUAAGACGACGGUGAGUUGAGACAAAUGAAAAUAAGAGAGCCUUAUUGGUGAAAAACCCUCAUAGACACCAUAAGGAAAUUGUGAGCUGGGAAAAAGAAAAAUGAGAGAGGCUUAUUGGCAAAAACCAUUCAAGAGGCCACUAGCCGAAUGAGGUCUUAAAUGCAAUUGAACUAAGGAAGCAACUCAAUUUCGAGGUCAUUAACUCAACAACAAUUGGUAGAAAGUUUUGGAUAGAAAGAUCAAGCAGUUUAAUCCGAUAUGCAUGUCAUAAUCAUUAGAGUUGACUGUCGUUUUCAAAUAAAAUUUUCUUUUAUGUUCUUCAACAGGGACAUUCAUUGUGUUUCUUUAUUCUGUUUAGUUAUAUUUUUAUUUUCUUGAGUUAGUUAUCCAAAUAAAACAAAAAUUGUUGUAAUUUUUCUCUUGUCUUUGAGUCAAGUCCAUGUCAGACCAAGUAAGAAAAGAUUUCAAAACUAGCUACCAGUUUCUUCAAUUGUACAAAGCAAGACAAAGGGCCAUCAUAUGAAAGAAACAAGAUUGCAAGUCAGAAUAAGUCAUGCAGAAAGUUUUGUCAAUAGACAAGUCUGGGAACUCAUUGAAAUACCAAGGUUCAAAGGAUUUAUCUGAGGAGAAUGGAAAAAUAGAGAUACUGUGUUUGUUUCAGAGUCAUUUCCACGAUAUAGCAGGGGCAAAAGCCAGCAAUCUUAAACAAAAUGAAGGGAAUGAACACUGGAGCAGGUGUCAGGUAAGCCAAGUGCUGCAAACCACCACUAAGUUUUUAACUGACAAAUUUUCUUUGUUGAAAUAGGGGCAAAUUUGCUUCACUUAGUUUAGCUACCAUUGGAAAUGAACAUCCAUGGAAAUUUACUUUCUAUUCAGGACCUUCCUGAAAAAUAAGAUUUUAUUUUCUGUUCAGGACCCUCCUGGAAAAUGGGAUUUUACUUUCUGCUCAGGACCCUCCUGAAAAAUGGGAAUUUACUUUAUGUUUAGGACCCUCCUGGAAAAUGGGAUUUACUUUAUGUUCAGGACCCUCUUGGAAAAUGGGAUUAUACUUUCUGCUCAGGAACCUCCUGAAAAAUAGGAAUUUACUUUAUGUUCAGGACCCUCCUGGAAAAUGAAAAUGAGAUUUUACUUUCUGCUCAGGACCCUCCUAGAAAAUGGGAAUUUACUUUAUGUUCAGGACCCUCCUGGAAAAUGAGAUUUUACUCUAUGAUCAGGACCCUCCUGGAAAAUGGCCUCCUGGAAAAUGGGAUUUUACUUUAUGUUCAGGACCUUCCUGUAAAAUGGGAUUUUACUUUCUGCUCAGGACCCUCCUGGAAAAUGAGAAUCUACUUUAUGUUCAGGACCCUCCUGGAAAAUGAGAAUCUACUUUAUGUUCAGGACCCUCGUGGAAAAUAGGAUUUUACUUUCUGAUCAGGACCCUCCUGGAAAAUGAGAAUUUUACUUUAUGUUCAGGACCCUCUUGAAAAAUGGAAUUUUACUUUCUGUUCAGGAUCCUCCUUGAAAAUGGGAUUUUACUUUCUGUUCAGGACCCUCCUGAAAAAUGAGAAUUUACUUUAUGUUCAGAACCCUCCUUAAAAAUGGAAAUUUACUUUAUGUUCAGGCCCCUCCUGAAAAAUGAGAAUUUACUUUCUGUUUAGGACGCUCUUGAAAAAUGGGAUUUUACUUUCUGUUCAGGACCCUCCUGAAAAAUGGGAUUUUACUUUCUGCUCAGGACACUCCCGAAAAAUGGAAAUUUAGUUUAUGUUCAGGACCCUCCAAAAAAAUGGGAUUUUACUUUCUGUUCAGGACCCUCCUGAAAAAUGGGAUUUUACUUUCUGCUCAGGGCCCUCCUGGAAAUGAGAAUUUACUUUAUGUUUAGGACUCUCCUGAAAAAUGGGAUUUUACUUUCUGCUCAGGGCCCUCCUGGAAAUGAGAAUUUACUUUAUGUUCAUGCCCCUCCUGGAAAAUGGGAUUUUACUUUCUUUUUAGGACCCUCCUAGAAAAUGGAAAUUUACUUUAUGUUCAAGACUCUCAUGAAAAAUGGAACUUUGUUGUCAAUAAAUAAAAUCUGUCUUUGUCAUAAUCUUAGUUUGGGAUAAUUUUCAUUUUAGUUUUGAUUUUGAUUUCAGAAGUACGCAUGAGGAACAGGGUGAGAAAAAGUUGCAAGUCAGGAGCCCGCCUGAAAAAUAGGGUGAUGAAAUUGAAAGUCAAUCAACAAGGGG